UGGGGAAUCUUGCACAAUGGGCGAAAGCCUGAUGCAGCCAUGCCGCGUGAGUGAAGAAGGCCCUAGGGUUGUAAAGCUCUUUCAGUGGUGAAGAUAAUGACGGUAGCCACAGAAGAAGCCCCGGCUAACUCCGUGCCAGCAGCCGCGGUAAUACGGAGGGGGCUAGCGUUGUUCGGAAUUACUGGGCGUAAAGCGCGCGUAGGCGGACUGGUCAGUCAGGGGUGAAAUCCCGGGGCUUAACCUCGGAACUGCCUUUGAUACUGCCAGUCUUGAGUCCGGGAGAGGUGAGCGGAAUUCCGAGUGUAGAGGUGAAAUUCGUAGAUAUUCGGAAGAACACCAGUGGCGAAGGCGGCUCACUGGCCCGGUACUGACGCUGAGGCGCGAAAGCGUGGGGAGCAAACAGGAUUAGAUACCCCCGUAGUCC
This 424-nucleotide ribosomal RNA is filed under the name uncultured prokaryote. Its description in RNAcentral is "bacterial SSU rRNA". It matches the Rfam family "Bacterial small subunit ribosomal RNA", at positions 355 to 796 of the family's 1533-position model. The record is from RNAcentral.